This 1305-nucleotide long non-coding RNA is filed under the name Homo sapiens (human). RNAcentral describes it as "HSALNT0119991". Lineage: Eukaryota; Metazoa; Chordata; Mammalia; Primates; Hominidae. The record is from RNAcentral.
GUCAAGGCUUAUUUAUGGCUUAGAGCAAGCUGAUGCCAGUUCUGAUUCAUCAUUACUGGGUGUGGAAGAUGUAUUUUUCAAAGACGACCAUACCAAUGUACAUCCCAUCCCACAUGCUCCUCUAACAAAGUGACCGUGACACUUCUUCAUCAAUAGAUGGCUUCUAUAUUCCCAUCCUUCAAAUUUGAGUGGCUUCUAAUUAUGGCAGAAAUGAUGCUUCGUGACUUCUGAGGCUGCAUUAGAAAUGGCAAUGUAACUUCCACUUGUCCUGUUGUCUCAGGGUGCUUGCCCUUCAACUCAGCCACCACGAUGUGAGUAAGCUCAAGCUAGCCAACAUGGAAAGAACACAUGGAGAGAUCCAUUCGGAAAAGAAUGGCGACCGCCUCACCUCAGCCGAUAACCAGCAUCAACCCGCAGACAUGUGACUGAGCAAGGAUUCAAAUGUCCCAGCCUCCAGCCUUCCUGCUGUCCCAGUUGCCAAUCGCUGAAACCCCAGGCAGGAAGCCCUGGCAGACCUCCAGACUCAGCAGGUGGGAAGCAUGAGAACAUGGGGUGAAAAAGUCUCCUAGCACAAAAUGGGCAAACCUAGACACAUUUCUGCCUCCUGAAAUCUUCCAGGUGUGUCCUGCUCCACCUCCUCUGAAAAAGUCGAUGGCUGGUGUAUAUCUGAGUCACCACAAAGAAGUACGUGUUCAGAGGCAAAAAGUGAGCUGUGGGAAGACAGAUGCUCCCAGACAUCCAUUUCCCAACCAUUGCUUCCUGAACAUCAAGGUCCUGGAUCAGUCUCCACGGAAAAUACUCACUGACUCCUCCCAGGAUGAAAGUGACCCACAGUCAACAUCUGGAUGUGAACGCAGUGCUGAUUCCCAUCAUGCAUAAACCCACUUAGCCAUGAAAGCUUCAAUAAAACUGCUCUGUGACUGAAAUACUGCAAAGCCUGCCCCAGGGCAAAGCCUGCCCCUGACUCAGCCUCAAAGGUGCCAACUGGCUCCCAGUUAACCAACCCUUCCCUGUUCUGAGAUAUUUCCACAUGCGCAAAGGAUGCCAGUGGAUAGAACUGUUUUAUUCAUUAGGGGAUAAGGGUACUCAGAAAAGAAUACAGCUAAUUUUUAAAAACCAAUCCUGCAUUAGUUUUCUCUACUCUGGCUUUAUGUCCCACCUGCCCAUUCCAUGUAUUUGUUGUUACGAAGAACUGAAGAGUAAAACACUGGAAGAGUAAAGCAGUAGAAUUACCAUGUUCAUAGCUUCACUAUCAAAUGGCCAUCUUCCUUUGUCUUACGCACAUGAGGCAUAUAUACAUCUAUC